UACGGAGGAGGCAAGCGUUAUCCGGAAUUAUUGGGCGUAAAGCGUCCGCAGGUGGCGAUUCAAGUCUGCGGUCAAAGACUGGGGCUUAACCCUGGAAAGGCCGUGGAAACUGAAUAGCUAGAGUGCAGUAGGGGUAGAGGGAAUUCCCGGUGUAGCGGUGAAAUGCGUAGAGCUCGGGAAGAACAUCGGUGGCGAAAGCGCUCUACUGGGCCAUAACUGACACUCAGGGACGAAAGCUAGGGGAGCGAAUGGG
Molecule: ribosomal RNA, 253 nt
Filed under: uncultured bacterium
Lineage: Bacteria
Description: partial 16S ribosomal RNA
Rfam family: Bacterial small subunit ribosomal RNA
Source: RNAcentral